GCCUCAGUGGCCAAGUGGUAAGGCGUCGGUCUUGUAAACCGAAGAUCAUGGGUUCAACCCCUAUCUGAGGCU
This 72-nucleotide transfer RNA is filed under the name Saccoglossus kowalevskii. Its description in RNAcentral is "tRNA-Thr". It matches the Rfam family "tRNA". Rfam says of the family: Transfer RNA (tRNA) molecules are approximately 80 nucleotides in length. Their secondary structure includes four short double-helical elements and three loops (D, anti-codon, and T loops). Lineage: Eukaryota; Metazoa; Hemichordata; Enteropneusta; Harrimaniidae. The record is from RNAcentral.